CCUACGGGAGGCAGCAGUAGGGAAUAUUGGACAAUGGGUGCGAGCCUGAUCCAGCCAUGCCGCGUGCAGGAAGAAGGCCUUCUGGGUUGUAAACUGCUUUUGCCGGGGGAUAAAAGACCCAUGCGUGGGGAAUUGAAGGUACCCGGUGAAUAAGCCACGGCUAACUACGUGCCAGCAGCCGCGGUAAUACGUAGGUGGCGAGCGUUGUCCGGAUUUAUUGGGUUUAAAGGGUGCGUAGGCGGCCCCGUAAGUCAGUGGUGAAAUACGGCAGCUCAACUGUCGAGGUGCCAUUGAUACUGCGGGGCUUGAGUACAGUCGAGGUAGGCGGAAUUGACGGUGUAGCGGUGAAAUGCUUAGAUAUCGUCAAGAACACCGAUAGCGAAGGCAGCUUGCUAGGCUGUAACUGACGCUGAGGCACGAAAGUGCGGGGAUCAAACAGGAUUAGAUACCCUGGUAGUCCGCACAGUAAACGAUGGUCACUCGGUGUUGGCGGUACACGGCCNGCGCUAGNGAAGACGUAGUGACCACCNGGAGACGCCGCGAGGAGAACGACGAAGAAGUAGAGCGNGAGAGNGCGAGACGACGACGAGGGAGAGG
RNAcentral lists this ribosomal RNA (597 nucleotides) under uncultured bacterium. Its description in RNAcentral is "bacterial SSU rRNA". The stretch from base 1 to 529 matches the Rfam family "Bacterial small subunit ribosomal RNA", at positions 338 to 873 of the family's 1533-position model. The record is from RNAcentral.